RNAcentral lists this long non-coding RNA (502 nucleotides) under Capra hircus (goat). RNAcentral's name for it is "lncRNA (ENSCHIG00000004898.1)". The record is from RNAcentral. Lineage: Eukaryota; Metazoa; Chordata; Mammalia; Artiodactyla; Bovidae.
UGCUCUUGAACUCGCCUGACACUCCUAAGCUUUUCUCCAUGUCGCUCUCUGCCAAGAAGAGGACCUUGGCCAGGCAGAAGAGGGCCUGACACCAGCACAGCCUGGGGUUGAAACAGAUGAGCUUGUAUUUCCCUGGGCCAGAUGCUCCUUCAACAAGCAGCAAGUCAUAAGCCUCUGCUGUCUCGGGAUGUUGAAGGUUCUCACUGCUGUUUCAAGACUGGAACCAUCACACCAAGUUUUCAGAAAGAGAGGAGCCAGAAGAAUUUGGAGAUUGCUCCUUUUAGAAUUCUGACCACCCAGGACACAAGAAGGACAUGAGAAGACUUGCCUUUGCCUCUCCAUCAUCCUCAGGCCAACACUGCUAUACCAUCUGGGACAAGGCAGUGCCUCUCUUGGAACAUCAGUCUCCUUUUGGAAGAGAUGAAGCUCUGGGCACAAUUUCCAUCUAAAUUCUUUGAUUCCCACUCUGGUUUGGAGGGAGAUUGUAAUCUAAAAGUGAAAU